Galleria mellonella (greater wax moth) is the source of this 4797-nucleotide RNA transcript. It is a transcript of the gene named THO complex subunit 2, with no coding region annotated. The record is from RefSeq and is a predicted model, not a curated record. The transcript has 27 exons. Lineage: Eukaryota; Metazoa; Arthropoda; Insecta; Lepidoptera; Pyralidae.
UGGCAAUAUUGAAUUUUUUAUCCGUCAUGGCGACGGCUUUCUGUAUCAUUGUUUUAUGAAAAAUAUUUAGCUAAUUUCAUAUAACAUUAUGGGGUCGUUUGCUAAAUUUGUAUCCGAUUAUUGUAAAACAUGGGAUAAAACAGGAAAAGAGCAAUUUGUUAAAAAUGUGACACAGUCUAUCAAAGAUGAAGAAAAAAGUCCACUUUUUACUAAAUCAGGAAAAUUAUCUGGAUUAUCUCAGAGUGUGUAUGAUUUACUACUGUGUGGUCUUCGUGGAAAUCUAAAGAAAGAUGUUGUUCUAGCUACAUUAAAGGAAAUUAGUAUGUUGCAUGCUGACAUACCAUCUAUUAUACUAGAUGUAGUAUGUGUAUUUGAUGCUGAAACUUGUAUAGAUGUGCAAAGUGAUGAGCGCACAAACUUUUGUUACAUUGUAAGGGAAUUGGAAACCUUUAUGUCUGAUAAACUUUUAAAAGAAAGGCUUGAAAUUGAUACCCUUCAAGAUGUCGGUACUUUAAAGAAUAAAAACUUUUAUACCAAAUUUAUUAAAAUUAAGACUAAGCUGUAUUACAAACAGCGUAAGUUUAACUUGUUCCGUGAAGAAAGUGAAGGUUAUGCUAAGUUAAUUGUUGAACUAAACCAAGAAAUAAGUGAAGAUACAGAAUGGAAAACAUUGCUAGAAAUCAUUCAAUCGUUAAUAGGUUGUUUCAAUUUAGAUCCAAACAGGGUUUUAGAUAUCAUAUUAGAAUCCUUUGAAGCACGACCUCAUUUAGAUAAUUUGUUUAUUUCGUUGAUCAAAAAUUACAUGGGUGAUCCUCAAGUAAUAUCUGAAGUAUUAGGUUUCAAAUUAGGAAAUAUGGAAGUGCAAGAUAAUUUGAAAGAACCACCCCCAUUAAUGACUGUGAUAGCGUUGCUUUUACAGCAUCAGGUCAUAUCUCUAGAUGAUAUAUAUCCUUGGUUACGUCCUGAUGAUACUAUUAUGGCUAAAGAAGCAGACAAAGAAUUGAAAUCUGUACAGGACUAUAUACGUAAAUUAAGUAUUGUUUCUACAAAAGGACCUCAAACAAAUGGACCCACCGAAUUUGUUGAAGAGAAAUCUGAUCCUCAGGAAUAUUGGAGCAAUCAAAAGCUAGUACUCAGUGAGUCACUGCUUAAAGUAACAGCAUGGCGUGAAUUUGCCGCAUUGGCUGCACGACUCCCCACGACCGGUAUGGCGGCGCGGCCAGCAAUAGCCCUGUGCAAUAUGCUACAUGCGCUUGUUGAACCUUUGUACAGAAUGCAUUGUAGAGUAGGUCCAAAAAUUAUGGGUAAACCUGUUCCUCCCUUGAAAUCAAGUCUGGCACCACCUGCUUGUAAAACAUUUGAUGAUAUGAAAGAGACUGUUAUUCCUGCAUUAAUUUUAUUGGGACCUUCACUUCAUUAUGAUCCUGUUCUCAUGUAUAAGAUAAUUCGUAUAUUUAGAACAGCACGUUCAAAAUGCGAUGAUCCUUUACACUAUGAAGCACUUACAGUACUUGAUGCUGCCAUAUUGCCUUCUCUCACACUUAUGGAAGGAAAUUGUUGUAUGGCAGAAGAAGUUUAUACUCUUCUGAAACUUUACCCAUAUCAGUGCAGAUAUUGUUUAUACUCACGGUGGAAAAAUGAGGCGGGUGAACGAAUUCCGUCACUGAUGCGUGUACGCGGCAAUUCUUUACAGAGGAUUAAACAUAUCAUGAAACGCGUGUCCAAGGAAAAUAUUAAACCUCAGGGUCGCCUCAUUGGGAAAUUGUCUCAUGCUGCGCCGGCGUUCCUCUUCGAUUAUAUGCUUUUACAGAUUCAAACAUACGAUAACCUGAUCGGUCCGGUGGUGGAGUCGCUGAAGUAUCUGACAUCGCUGUCACUGGAUGUGCUGGGCUGCUGCCUGCUGGAGGCGCUGGCGCGGCGCGGGACAGCGGGCGCAGCCCACCCGCCCUGGCUGCAGGCGCUGGCCGCCUUCGCAGGUGCCGCCUUCAAAAAGCACAACAUUGAACUGACUGCACUCCUGCAGUUCGUCGCCAACCGACUCAAGGCACAACAGAGUCAAGAUUUGCUAAUUCUGAAAGAGAUAGUACAAAAGAUGGCAGGAAUAGAGGCGGCCGAAGAAAUGACAUCAGAACAAUUAGAUGCCAUGGCGGGGGGUGAAUUACUCAAGGGAGAGGCCGGAUAUUUUUCUCAAGUGCGUAACACGAGAAGAUCAUCAGCUAGACUUAAGGAAGCAAUAGUUGGGAACAACUUAGAUAUUGCUCUCUGUAUAUUAUCUGCUCAACAACGUCAUUGUUGUGUUUGGAAAGAAUCCGAAGAAGAAAGUACUUCCUCUGGGGAACCACCUGGCUCACAACUAAAAGUAGUUGGCAGAUUAGCAGAUCAGUGCCAGGAUGCUCUUGUUCAACUAGGAACAUUCUUAGCAUCGUCGCAUGCCCCCGAUGAAUAUGCCGCCCGUUUACCGUCAUUGCAGGAAUUGUUACGCGAUUACCACGUGGAUGCAGAUGUCGCCUUUUUUCUUCACCGUCCAGUACUAGCUCAAAAAAUCGCAGCAAGAGUUGAAGUAUUGAGGAAAGGUUCUGACAUAAAAGCGGACACAUUAGAGAAAAGUAUAGAACGAUACACUACCGCUGCAAAAGAGACUCUGGAACCUAUAUUGUUGUCCGUAACACCAAUGCUACCAGCCAGAGUGUGGGAAGAUAUUUCCCCUGAAUUUUAUGUCACUUUUUGGUCACUCUCGAUGUACGAUCUACGCGUGCCAGUGGAAAGUUAUGAACGGGAAAUAGAGCGUUUAAAGACUGCUGCGGCAAAUGCCGCUAAAGAUACUUCGCAAGGGACAAAAGGAAAAAAGGAGCAAGAACGUUAUAAUACACUUAUUGAAAAGCUACAGGAAGAGCGCCGGCGCCAGCAGGAGCACGUGUCCCGCGUGUCGGCGCGGCUGCAGCGCGAGUGCAGCGGCUGGUUCCCGGCGCGCGCCGCCAAGUCCGCCAAGAACGAGACCGUGACGCGGCUCAUGCAGCUGUGCCUGUUCCCACGCUGCGUGUUCACAGCCGCCGACGCGCUCUACUGCGCCGAGUUCGUGCACACGGUGCACUCACUCAAGACGCCCAACUUCUCUACGCUGCUCUGCUACGACAGGCUGUUCUGCGACAUCACGUACUCGGUGAUGUCGUGCUCGGAGGGCGAGGCGGCGCGCUACGGCCAGUUCCUGCGACGCGUGCUGGGCACGGCCAUGCGCUGGCACGCCGACCGCGCUGCCUUCCACGCCGAGUGCGCACACUACCCCGGUUUCGUCACCAAGUACCGCGUCUCCAACCAGUUCACCGAGGCCAACGACCACGUCGGCUACGAGAACUACAGACACGUGUGUCACAAAUGGCACUACAAAAUCACUAAAGCGAUGGUUGUGUGCCUUGAUUCCGGAGAUUACGUGCAAAUACGCAACGCGCUAAUUGUACUUAUAAGAGUGUUGCCGCACUUUCCAGUAUUGGAAAAAUUGGCCCAAAUAAUCGAGAGAAAAGUGGAUAAGGUAAAGGAAGAGGAAAAAACGCAGCGACAAGAUUUGUACGUGUUAGCUACGGGAUAUAGCGGACAGUUGCGUAACAAAGUCCCCCAUAUGAUGAGAGAGAGUGAUUUUCAUCAGGUGGUUGAUAAGCUCAAGGUGGCAAGCGCCGCUGCCACGCCUGCCGCCACUAUCAAAGAGGAGACUAACUCUCUGAAGCAAGAACAAGAGACGACUUCAUCACCACCACAAACACAAGACACUGAAAAACGAGAGUCUCGAAACAGUGAUCGACGCCGAGAUGAAUCGGACAGAGAGAAAGAAACAAAACGAGAAUCACGAACGUCAAUCAAGGAAAGAUCUAAGGAAGAAAUGAGAAGUAAAGAGCGAUCACCUAGAGAACGUUCACAUAGGGAGGAUCGUUAUUUGGAAACAGUUUCCCCACCGCAUGAUCAUCGUCAUCCACCUGAUGACAUUGAACGAGACGUGAAGCGUCGUAAAGUAGAAACCGCCGGAAAUGGCAAGGUGAGUAUUGUUGUGAUAAAUCGACCUUGCAUCAUGCUCGCGCCGGACUGAGGAUUGGGCUGGAGGCGACUACGAGCACGCGGCCCAACGCUGCUACUGCUACUAACCAUUGUAAUCGUGUGCGCGGACAAGUGUUCACACUCGUCAGAACUGGCCAUCAAGACUUAAAUUUGUGCUUACAAAAUAGACUAUGAACUGUCAAUUAUGUGAAAACAUACUAUAAUAAAAAAAUAAUUAACAAAACUGCUGUCGUACCUGUCAACCGCCAUGUGUUACUAUAAAAAGAAGAUUAAAUUAGCGGAAGAUAUCAUCAAUAAGAAGUUCACUAGAGGAUUCUUUAUUAUGAUCUACAAUUUAAGGAAAACUUAGAUUAUUCAACAUCAGGAUUCAAUCAAAAGUAUUUGUAUUUUUUAUAUAUAAGAAGAUCAAAGCUAACGAAAUAUGUUGAAAUGAAGGAAGAUUUUAUUAUUUCAAGAUAUCAAGACUAAUAACACAUAAUAAUAAAGACAAUUGCAUCGUAUCGCAUCGCAAGCACUCUUGUGAAGAAUCUUAAAUCUCGUAUUAUAAAUAAUAAUAUAUUUGUAAAAAUACUAUAAAAGGAAUCAAUGUGUGUCGUGUGUAAGUCCAUUCAGCCCAGUCCAAUCGCAUACUGCAGGGCACCAAAGAUAUAGAGGAACGGUCGCCCGAGAAGGAAAAACGCAAAACGAAAGUCAGAGGCGAUGAACGUAAAGAGCGUAAGAUGAGUCGCAAGCGGGAUAGAGCAGACGAUACUG